RNAcentral lists this ribosomal RNA (734 nucleotides) under Polyporus cf. talpae PR-2. Its description in RNAcentral is "partial large subunit ribosomal RNA". It matches the Rfam family "Eukaryotic large subunit ribosomal RNA", at positions 40 to 686 of the family's 3401-position model. RNAcentral also lists the same sequence under 1 other name. The record is from RNAcentral. Lineage: Eukaryota; Fungi; Basidiomycota; Agaricomycetes; Polyporales; Polyporaceae.
AUAUCAAUAAGCGGAAGGAAAAGAAACUAACAAGGAUUCCCUCAGUAACUGCGAGUGAAGCGGGAAAAGCUCAACAUUAAAAUCCGGUAGCCCUUUCGUGGGGUGGUCCGGAGUUGUAAUCUAGAGAGACGUCAUGUCCGCACUGGAAACCCACUCACAAGUCCCUUGGAACAGGGCAUCAUAGAGGGUGACAAUCCCGUUCGUGAUAAGCUGGAACUAGUGCAUUUGAGACGCGUCUUCACAGAGUCGAGUUGUUUGGGAGUGCAACUCUAAACGGGUGGUAAACUCCAUCUAAAGCUAAAUACAGGCGAGAGACCGAUAGCGAACAAGUACCGUGAGGGAAAGAUGAAAAGCACUUUGGAAAGAGAGUUAAACAGUACGUGAAAUUGCUGAAAGGGAAACGCUUGAAGUCAGUCGCGUCGACAUAAGGGUUCAGCCAAGUCUCGGCUUGGUUUACUCCCCAAGUCGACGGGUCAGCGUCGAUUUUGACCGUCGGAAAAGGGCUGGAGGAAGGUGACAGGUUAGAAAAAAAAAAAUAACAUGUUUUAUAGCCUUCAGUCGUAUGCGACGGUUGGGAUCGAGGGAGUUAAAUUGGCGAGCGACGGCGGGGGCCUCUUGCCCCGUCGUCGUCAAUAAAAAAAAAAAAUAAACUAACACGAAACGCCUUUUGAUGCUGGCUUAAUGGCUUUAAACGACCCGUCUUGAAACACGGACCAAGGAGUCUAACAUGCCUG